Molecule: non-coding RNA, 72 nt
Organism: Phthorimaea operculella (potato tuberworm)
Lineage: Eukaryota; Metazoa; Arthropoda; Insecta; Lepidoptera; Gelechiidae
Source: the annotation of a GenBank genome assembly
GUACCGAUAGCUCAGUGGCAGAGCGGUGGGGCGUUUACCCAUGCGGCCCGGGUUCGAUCCCCGGUCGAUGUA